RNAcentral lists this ribosomal RNA (495 nucleotides) under uncultured bacterium. Its description in RNAcentral is "partial 16S ribosomal RNA". It matches the Rfam family "Bacterial small subunit ribosomal RNA", at positions 30 to 507 of the family's 1533-position model. The record is from RNAcentral.
UGAACGCUGGCGGCGUGCCUAAUACAUGCAAGUCGAGCGAACGGACGAGAAGCUUGCUUCUCUGAUGUUAGCAGCGGACGGGUGAGUAACACGUGGAUAACCUACCUAUAAGACUGGGAUAACUUCGGGAAACCGGAGCUAAUACCGGAUAAUAUUUUGAACCGCAUGGUUCAAAAGUGAAAGACGGUCUUGCUGUCACUUAUAGAUGGAUCCGCGCUGCAUUAGCUAGUUGGUAAGGUAACGGCUUACCAAGGCAACGAUGCAUAGCCGACCUGAGAGGGUGAUCGGCCACACUGGAACUGAGACACGGUCCAGACUCCUACGGGAGGCAGCAGUAGGGAAUCUUCCGCAAUGGGCGAAAGCCUGACGGAGCAACGCCGCGUGAGUGAUGAAGGUCUUCGGAUCGUAAAACUCUGUUAUUAGGGAAGAACAUAUGUGUAAGUAACUGUGCACAUCUUGACGGUACCUAAUCAGAAAGCCACGGCUAACUACGUG